AGUGAACGCUGGCGGUAGGCCUAACACAUGCAAGUCGAACGGCAGCACAGUAAGAGCUUGCUCUUACGGGUGGCGAGUGGCGGACGGGUGAGGAAUACAUCGGAAUCUACUUUUUCGUGGGGGAUAACGUAGGGAAACUUACGCUAAUACCGCAUACGACCUACGGGUGAAAGCAGGGGAUCUUCGGACCUUGCGCGAUUGAAUGAGACGAUGUCGGAUUAGCUAGUUGGCGGGGUAAAGGCACACCAAGGCGACGAUCCGUAGCUGGUCUGAGAGGAUGAUCAGCCACCCUGGAACUGAGCCCCGGUCCAGACUCCUACGGGAGGCAGCAGUGGGGAAUAUUGGACAAUGGGCGCAAGCCUGAUCCAGCCAUACCGGGUGGGUGAAGAAGGCCUUCGGGUUGUAAAGCCCUUUUGUUGGGAAAGAAAAGCAGCAGGUUAAUACCCCGCUGUUCUGACGGUACCCAAAGAAUAAGCACCGGCUAACUUCGUG
Molecule: ribosomal RNA, 492 nt
Filed under: uncultured bacterium
Lineage: Bacteria
Description: partial 16S ribosomal RNA
Rfam family: Bacterial small subunit ribosomal RNA
Source: RNAcentral